Non-coding RNA from Pelobates cultripes (western spadefoot toad), 238 nucleotides. NCBI's taxonomy places the organism in Eukaryota, Metazoa, Chordata, Amphibia, Anura, Pelobatidae. The record is from the annotation of a GenBank genome assembly.
CCUGGUGCUCUGACGUCGUUAUAUUGACGAUAUUCUUGUUAUAUGGAAGGGGUCUGAAGAACAUCUGUUAGACUUUUUUAAGUAUCUUAAUGAUAUCUUUUCACUCGUUUUUUCCCCCAUGUACAGUUCUACUUCUAUAGAUUUUUUUGGAUUUGACUAUUUCAAAACAAGGAGGUCAUAUUCAUACUAAAACUUAUUUUAAACCCACUGAUACCAACAGUUAUAUUGAAUCAACUAG